RNAcentral lists this ribosomal RNA (468 nucleotides) under uncultured bacterium. RNAcentral's name for it is "partial 16S ribosomal RNA". It matches the Rfam family "Bacterial small subunit ribosomal RNA", at positions 28 to 507 of the family's 1533-position model. The record is from RNAcentral.
GACGAACGCUGGCGGCGUGCUUAACACAUGCAAGUCGAACGGAAAGGCCCUGCUUUUGUGGGGUGCUCGAGUGGCGAACGGGUGAGUAACCCGUGAGUAACCUGCCCUUGACUUUGGGAUAACUUCAGGAAACUGGGGCUAAUACCGGAUAGGAGCUCCUGCUGCAUGGUGGGGGUUGGAAAGUUUCGGCGGUUGGGGAUGGACUCGCCGCCUAUCAGCUUGUUGGUGGGGUAGUGGCUUACCAAGGCCUUGACGGGUAGCCGGCCUGAGAGGGUGACCGGCCACAUUGGGACUGAGAUGCGGCCCAGACUCCUACGGGAGGCAGGGGUGGGGAAUAUUGCACAAUGGGCGGAAGCCUGAUGCAGCAACGCCGCGUGCGGGAUGACGGCCUUCGGGUUGUAAACCGCUUUCGCCUGUGACGAAGCGUGAGUGACGGUAAUGGGUAAAGAAGCACCGGCUAACUACGUG